Long non-coding RNA from Symphalangus syndactylus (siamang), 1103 nucleotides. RefSeq lists it as uncharacterized. The record is from RefSeq and is a predicted model, not a curated record. NCBI's taxonomy places the organism in Eukaryota, Metazoa, Chordata, Mammalia, Primates, Hylobatidae.
GCAGGCGCAGGCUGAGGCCCUCAGGUCCCCAGCGGGUCCUCGGCAUCAGUCACUCUCUACGGGCCAGACCUGGGGGUCACUGCCUGCAGGAGCCUCCGUGCGCGGCCCCACUCCCUCACCUGCGACCCCGUGGGGAGGCGACCCCAACCUCCCUCGUUCCGGACUCCAGCAGGGCGCCCGCAGCCAGCGGUCCCCUCCCGAGUCUCCGCUCCUGCCGGGAUUCUGCAGGAGGGGGACCUCAUCGCCGCGGCUGGGAAGCCGUGCGAGUUUCAGUCCACUCGAAGGCUCAGAAGGUCUUGGAAAAUUGGGGACAUACAUCUUUAAAAGCUGGAGACACUUUACGGAGCGAAAUAUCUGCACCGCCCCCGCCCCCGCCCUCGCCCUCGCCCCCGCCCCCGCCCCCAACUCCUGUUCUACCUCCCUUCCCUGGGCAGGUCUGGGUGAUGGGGCCACCUUGGCGUGGGGAUCGGGCCUGGUACCCUGCACCGGGUAGUGGCGCGGUGUGUCCCUAGGCAAAUUUGGAAAAAGCCGAAACCUGCGGGGCAGCGGCGGCGACCCCUGGGCACAGCGUCCCCUGGCGGCCGCCGGGCUCAGCCAGUUCUGGGAGCCGGGAGGUCGCCGGGAGGUCGCCGGGAGAGUGGGCCCAAGGCAGGAUCAGCCCAGCGCCUCCAGGUAUACAGUGAAAAGUCUUCAUCCCAGAAAAACUGUCAGCCAAAUGUUAAAAUUGAGGCACAUUCUACAAAAUACCCGACUAGUACUCCUCAGAACAGUCAAAGUCAUCAAAACCCAGGAAGAAUCUGAGAAAUUGUCAUAGCCAAGAACAGCCUAAGGAGACAGGACCAUUAAAUGUAAUGUUGUGUCAUGGAUGAGGUCCUGGAGCAGAAAAACGGACAUCUGGUGAAAACUAAGGAAAUCCGAGUCAAGACGGACUUUAGUUAAAGCAUCAACACCGGUUCACUAUUUGUAACAAACAACCCAUACUAACUACCAAUGCUAAUAAUAUGGGAACCUGGGUGCAGGCUUUAUGGAGACUCUUAUUAUCUUUGCAAUUUUUCUGUGACGCUAAAACUGUUUAGAAAAUAAAGUUUAUUUUUUUAAAAAGA